GCUCCCUAAACUUCGGAUACACUAAAGAAACAACAUGGCUGGUUAUUCAACAACUGAAAUGAAAGAGGUUUUAGAAAGAUUGAACGAUUGGGAGCGAGAUAUAGAUCCACUAGCUCCACUAACAUCUUUGCAGAAAGAAAGUAUUGAAGAACUAAUGUCGAUUGUUGCUUUCAGGCUUUUACCUAGUGAGGUUAACAGUGAACGAAUUUCCCCUUUAGAACCAGAAUAUGAACUACAGAAGGAAAGAAAUAAUUCUGAAGUAAUGUGCUUAAAUUCAGCUUUGGUAAAUUUUCAAGUAGAAGAGACUGUUGAAACAUCACAACAAUUUUUGUCCUUGGUUGACAAUAUUGAAGAGAGAAUUUUGAAAGAUGAUGACGAAGCCAUGAAAUUGUAUAUUGAUCAACUUUGCACUAGUAACAUGGAAUGUAGCAGUCUUCUUGAUGAAAUAACAACCUCUCUUGAAGAACUAGAGUCAUUACAGAAACUCUAUAUUUUUGUGUCAGACAAGACCAAUACUUUACAUGAGGCAUGCGAGCAGCUUCUAACGGAUCAGGCUACUUUGGUCAAUUGUGCAGAAGUUAUCAAGGAAAAGCUCAGUUACUUUAAUGAACUUGAAACACUUUCACAGAAAUUGAAUUCUCCAACUCUUUCUGUCGUUAGUGAGUCUUUUGUUCCAAUGUUGGCUCGAUUAGAUGACUGCAUUGCCUAUCUGAAAGCAAAUCCUCAGUACAAGGAAUCAGAAACCUAUCUUGCUCGGUUCAAGCGGCUGUUAGCUCAAGCUCUGGGCAUGAUUCAGUCGUACGUGAUGGCCAACCUUCAACAGACUACCCAGCAAAUCUUAGCUCGUAAAGACACACUUUCUCCUAAUGAUAAUGCUUUCACGCUUUUAUAUGGAAAAUUCCGAGCCCGAGGUCCCCGAAUAAGAGCUUUGAUGGAACAGAUAGAAGAAAGAGUUGAGAAAAAUUCAGAAUACCAACAGCUUUUAGAAGACUGUCAUCAGUGCUACUUUACUCAAAGGGAGUUGCUUUUAGGACCAGGUGUGUCAACAGCUAUCACAAACUUAGCAGAGAAACACCAGCGUGAUCACUGUGCUUUGAUGAGGAGUGGGUGUGCCUUCCUAGUGCACCUUUCUGAAGAUGAGCAUCAGUUGUACCAGCAUUUUUUCUCUCGACCAAGUCAAGAACUGAACACUUUUCUGGAACGUUUGUGUCAACGACUGUAUGAUGUGUUGCGUACAAUAAUCAUCCACGUAAAUCAUUUAGAAACCCUUACUGAACUCUGUACUAUCUUGAAGGUGGAAAUGUUGGAAGAGUUUGUACAGAAUGAUCCCAAACAGCUUGAAGCUUUUGCUAACGUGGCCCAGCAGAUGUUGGAAGAUGUUCAGGAAAGACUGGCCUACAGAACCCACAUUUACAUCAGAACAGAUAUUCUGAAUUAUCAUCCCGCUCCAGGAGACUUAGCUUAUCCGGAAAAACUAGAAAUGAUGCAGAACAUUGCAGAGAGCUUGGCUCAAAAGCCCCUUAGCCGCUCCAGUUCUCGAUCCUCCCUAGGGUCAACUACUUCAGCGCCAGCCUGUGUUAGUAGAGAGUCUAAGAACAGAGAGGAAAGUAUUGCAGUCAUGUCAGUUUCAGCGUCCGAACAAGUGAUGGAGACCACCAUGUCCCAGUCAGCGUCAGAAUUAAAUCCGAGUGUUCCUGUCAAAGGAAGGACUGUUUUAUAUUCACCAGCUGAUCUCCAUGGCAUGUGGUACCCCACAGUCCGUCGAACAUUAGUAUGUUUGUCCAAAUUGUACCGAUGCUUGGAGAAGACUAUUUUCCAAGGCUUGUCUCAAGAGGUCUUAUCCAUGUGUAUCCAGUCUUUAGUGUCUGCCAGUCAAAGUAUAGCCAAGAACAAGACCUCACUUGAUGCACAUCUGUUCCUGAUUAAACACCUGUUAAUUCUUCGAGAACAGAUUUCUCCAUUCCAAAUUGAUUUUGUCAUCAAGGAGACAGUUCUUGACUUCAGCCGUAUUAAAAGUGCUGCUUUUGGCUUACUGCAUAAAAAGUCAAAACUUUUCUCUCUAAAUUCAAAUAAUGCUUUGCUCGAGUUUCUGCUCGAGGGAACACCACAAGUCAUGGAAAAUCUUGUCGAUUCCAAAAAGGCCGUUGACAACCAGUUGAAGAUAAUAUGUGAGGAAUUCAUUGCAAAUACUGUUGAAAUGUUAAUAGGACAGCUUCUUAUUUUCCUGAAUAAGGCUAAAGUCAUCUUAGAAGUUGGGGAGAAAGAGGCUACACGACAAGUAGUGCUGAAGAACCAGCCUUGGGCUAGCCCGGAAAAAGUGUCUGAACUUGUUAAUGAAGCGUACAAACAUUUAAAAAACAAGCUUCCGAACUUGGCAAAUAGCAUGUCGCUAUAUUUAGCCAACAGAGAUACAGAGCACAUUCUGUUUAGGCCAAUCAGGAACCGAGUUCAAUCUGCCUUUGAACAGCUUCUACAGCUAGUUCGAACGAACUACAGUGAAGAUGAACAGUUGAUAAUUGGUUGCCCAUCUACUGAUCAGAUCAGCCUUCUAUUGUCAUCUGCCAUUAUCAGGUGAAAGUUAGCCAUCAGAGUCUGUGGUGGUGUAUAUUCUCCAAUAAAGCACUGGGAACAAAGAAAGGUCCUGUCAGAAUUUGAAGCAGAUUAGCCUACAUGGAGAUGAUUAGUUCAAACACAUUUUUUCUUGACUGUUUUGGUUUAUGUAAUGGUGAAGUUAGGUUUAUUACUUCUGGGGUUUUACAAUAUCAUCUUAACAAUCACGUAAGUUCUGACAAAUGAAAGAAUUUUGAUUGGCUGUUUAGUAAUACAUUUUCAUAAUGCCUAAGAAGUGGCUCUACAUUUAGUUCACUUUUCUUGAAUACCUUUGGUAAUGAAAAGUGGUGUCUGGACAUGUUUGUUAAACUUGGAUAUAAUACUAAUUCUUCCACCUAAACUAGAUGGACAACUGUUUAAGCUUCAGUCUUUUUUUAUUCACAGUGAAAAAAAAGAUAUGUGUAUAAAAACAGAAACUACACAAAUUAUUUAGUAACCUCAUACUUGUCUGAAUUAAUUUUAAAAUUAUGAAACAGAGCAGCAUAUGUGAUGAUGAGGCUAUUUAUCUUAUGAAUAUUAAAGUAAACACAUGUUGAACUUCUGUAAAAAUUUCAUUGCUGUAAAAAAACUCAAAUACUUACUAAGAAAAGUAACAAUGAUGUAGAUUAUUGUAUGAAACAGAACAACAAUAUUGAUUAGUAAAAUCCAUUCGUAAAAUAAUGUUUCAACCACAAAUACAAAUAUUGUUCAUAAAAAUGAUUUAGCUUUUUAUCUGUGUUUUGAACAAUUUUCUAUAGUUUCUUGACACAGUGGUCUUUUUUUGUAUUUUAAUAUUUACAUCCUGAAAGUGUGAAAACUAAGACAAUAUGCACAUAUUUGCCUGUAGAGUAAGGAAACGAAAGUAGUUGAGAAAUAUUGAAGUUGUAUUGUUUGAAAAGGUAUAUGAAGUGUUAGAAACAUGAUGUUUUAACAAGAUACACUGUAUUUGGAAGAUGGAGACCCACUGUCAUAUGACAGUGAUAGAACAACAACAGUUUAACAAGAGCUUAUUUCUUGUGAAGAUGGAUACGUCUAUUUUCUUUUGUUAUUCUCCAAAAGCUCUAUAAAUUAGCUUGUUAAAAUGGGUUGCAGUAACUAGAUGGAAGACCUCCCCAAUUACAUUAUCUAUAGUAACUAGAUGGAAAACCUCCCUAAUUACAUUAUCUGUAGUAACUAGAGGGAAAACCUCCCUAAUUACAUUAAUCUGUAGUAACUAGAUGGAAAACCUCCCUAAUUACAUUAUCUGUAGUAACUAGAUCUAACACCCCCCUAAUUACAUUAUCUAUAGUAAUUAGAUGGAAGACCUCCCUAAUUACAUUAUCUAGAAUAACUAGAUGGAAGACCUCCCCAAUUAUAUUAUCUAUAGUAAUUAGAUGUAAAACUUCCCUAAUUACAUUAUCUGUAGUAACUAGAUGCAAAACCUCCCUAAUUAUAGUAUCCAGAGUAACUAGAUGGAAGAUCUAUCUAAUUACAUUACCUAUAGUAACUAGAUGGAAGAAUGGAAGACUUCUAAUUAUGUAAUCUAGAAUAAAUAUAUAAUGACAAAAAUUUUUUAAGCAAAUGAGCUUAAAAAUUAAAAUCAGUUUGGGCUGCCUAUGAUUUCCUUGUUAAUCAGUGAAUGGUAAAUUAUCAUUUCUGUUUAACAGAUAUUACAGUUUAAGGGUGUUUUUAUAACACCUGUCUAUAAAAAUAUGUAUGUAUGUGAUUUUUUGGUAAAGCACAUUACACAAUUUUACAUGUUUCUUCUAAUCACCUGAAGGUUUGGUUGCUGGGACAUACUGAUCAGUUCAGAGUUAUCCAGAAAAAUCCAGUUAGUGAUGUUUUUGUUUGUGGGAUAAAUGGGAAAGUACAACAGUUGUUUCCAGAGUGAGAAAGAAAGUGAGAUGUAUAUAAUUUAAAAAUAAAAGAUAUUGUAUAGA
This 4508-nucleotide unclassified non-coding RNA is filed under the name Limulus polyphemus (Atlantic horseshoe crab). Its description in RNAcentral is "conserved oligomeric Golgi complex subunit 3-like, transcript variant X1". The record is from RNAcentral. Lineage: Eukaryota; Metazoa; Arthropoda; Merostomata; Xiphosura; Limulidae.